This 253-nucleotide ribosomal RNA is filed under the name uncultured bacterium. RNAcentral describes it as "partial 16S ribosomal RNA". It matches the Rfam family "Bacterial small subunit ribosomal RNA", at positions 524 to 776 of the family's 1533-position model. The record is from RNAcentral.
UACGUAGGGGGCAAGCGUUGUCCGGAUUUAUUGGGCGUAAAGAGCGUGUAGGCGGCCAUGUAGGUCCGUUGUGAAAACUCGAGGCUCAACCCCGAGACGCCGAUGGAAACCAUGUGGCUAGAGUCCGGAAGAGGAGAGUGGAAUUCCUGGUGUAGCGGUGAAAUGCGCAGAUAUCAGGAAGAACACCCGUGGCUAAGGCGGCUCUCUAGUACGGUACUGACGCUGAGACGCGAAGGCGUGGGGAGCAAACAGG